Long non-coding RNA from Etheostoma spectabile (orangethroat darter), 332 nucleotides. RefSeq lists it as uncharacterized. The transcript is spliced from 4 exons. The record is from RefSeq and is a predicted model, not a curated record. NCBI's taxonomy places the organism in Eukaryota, Metazoa, Chordata, Actinopteri, Perciformes, Percidae.
GAUGUUGGGGGUUGAAAACCCCAAACACAGCAUUUAGUUCUCUCUCAGCCGCCAGGUUUCCGUCCAAAUGUAGUGAAAAUUUGAAAUAAAUUUCCAGAAAAUCAUCAAACGAAGAUCCACUGCUGUUGUGUAAACAUGAGAAGUCAGUUUAUUGAGAUAAACAGCUGGUGUGUGAGGAGUAAAACACAGAAGCUAGAAAACAUUUGUGGGGCAGCUUCUUUGAGUCUAGUUCUUAUAAUUCUUCCAAACCUUAAACAAUUUGGAAACCGGAUCUAAUAAUAUAAUAAUAUACAGUAUGACGUGUCUGCUCCACACAGAUCUCAUGUUCUCAG